Dinoponera quadriceps is the source of this 2013-nucleotide RNA transcript. It is a transcript of the gene named cysteine protease ATG4B, with no coding region annotated. The record is from RefSeq and is a predicted model, not a curated record. Lineage: Eukaryota; Metazoa; Arthropoda; Insecta; Hymenoptera; Formicidae. The transcript has 12 exons.
CAUUCGAAGUACUUGUAGCUACAGUGUUUACAGUUUUUAUAGUUCUUAGGUAGAAUCCUUUGUUUUUCGGAUUGUUCAAUUAGGAAAUAGUAAAACUUCAAGUGAAAACAUCGAAGUGUCAUUGCGGAAUUCAUAUACACUCACACGCACACACACACAAAAUUUUCUUCUUAAUACUUAAUGAUAAAAGUAUGUGCAGUUUAUUAUCUUUGUGAAAUUUUUUUGAAAUGGCGUGUCUAACCUCAUCACUCAUAAGAUCAACGCGUUUGCUUUGAUUAAUGAUUCUGAUUAUGUUAAAGCUUACACAUCACAUAUAUAGAAUGGUCUUAUCUUUGAGAUAUUAUCUAUAAUAAAAGGUAGUAACAAUGGAUGCUUUAUUCCAAACCCAAAAUAUCGUCGAUGAGGCAGAAGAUAUACCACAAACCGAUGACCCAGUCUGGAUUCUUGGCAGAAAAUACAACACUCUUAAAGAACUCGAUGCGAUACGUAGAGACAUUCGAUCCAAACUGUGGUUUACAUAUCGCAAAGGCUUUGUUCCUAUUGGCGGCUGCAGUUCUACAUUUACGUCUGACAAAGGCUGGGGUUGUAUGUUGAGAUGUGGACAAAUGGUUCUUGGCCAAGCCUUAAUUACUUUACACUUAGGUAAAGAUUGGCAGUGGGUUCCAGAAUCAAAGAAUAGUACAUAUUUAAAGAUUUUAAAGCGCUUCGAAGAUAAUAGGGCUGCUGCAUUUUCCAUUCAUCAAAUUGCAUUGAUGGGAGCGUCUGAAGGAAAGGAAGUUGGACAAUGGUUUGGUCCUAACACCAUUGCGCAAGUAUUAAAAAAAUUAGUCGUGUAUGACGAAUGGAGCUCCCUUACUAUACACGUUGCGCUAGACAAUACUCUAGUAAUUAAUGACAUUUUGAGACAAUGUAAUGUAGAGGGCGGCGUGACAGCGGAAGCAGAUGGAGAGACACCUUUGAAAGCACCUAGCCAAUGGAAGCCUUUGCUAUUGCUAAUCCCACUCCGUCUUGGGCUCAGUGAGAUUAAUCCUGUGUAUAUUAAUGGACUUAAGGCAGCAUUUAAGAUUUCGCAAUCCUUGGGUGUGAUUGGAGGAAAACCCAAUCUGGCCUUGUAUUUCAUAGGAUGCGUGGGAGACGAAGUUAUUUUCUUGGAUCCCCAUACCACGCAAAGAUCAGGCAGUGUUGAAAAUAAAAUUUACGAAGAAGAAAUUGAGAUGGAUGCUACGUACCACUGCAAAUUAGCUAGUCGUAUUCCUAUCACGGGAAUGGAUCCUUCUGUGGCUCUUUGCUUCUUUUGUGCUACGGAAAUGGAAUUCAGAUCUUUAUGUAAAUCAAUGGAAGAGGAAUUAACACUGCCCGAGAAGCAACCGUUAUUUGAACUCUGCACAGAGCGCUUACCGCACUACUGGUCACCUGCGGAAGAUGUUGCUUCCGAGGCAAUAGCAGCUUCUAAUUAAAAGUAUUACCGACUGUGAGUCGAUGAAAUCAUCCAUGCAUUUACGGGCCUCUUCCACAUUUUUAAAGCGUGUGUAUCCGGCCAGAUAGUGUUGGAGCGAUCGGAAUAGAUGAUAAUCCAAAGGAAUUAGAUCCGGUGAAUAAGCCACAUGAGAGGGAAUUUUCCAGCCCAACGAAUAGAUAGCCUUCGUUUUGUGGCGUUAUCGUGCUGCAAGGAUUGCCGUGACAAAACCUGAAAGUAAUAAUUAUCACGAUCUCGUCCGAAAAGGAGCAUCUGAGGCACUGUAUCCUUUUUGCGUUCCAGUUGAAUAAAAAUGCUGCUCAGGCUACCAAAAUGAUUUGUUCCGCUUUGGAUAAUUGGAAGUUGUAGAUUUUGAACGCAUUGAACGUCAGUACGAUACAUCUGAUGAAGACUUCGAACUGCUUGGUUGACGACUAUCUGAUCCACCUAGUGCCGUGGCGACGUGGGAAACGACAGUUGAAUAUUACAAUGGUGUUCUCUUUGAAAUAAUUUGUAUUUCUAAUUAUAAUAAUAAAUUUAUUAAUGGUGCAAAGUAA